AGCAGUAGCCGCGGUAAUACGAAGGGGGCUAGCGUUGUUCGGAUUUACUGGGCGUAAAGCGCACGUAGGCGGAUCGAUCAGUCAGGGGUGAAAUCCCAGAGCUCAACUCUGGAACUGCCUUUGAUACUGUCGAUCUGGAGUAUGGAAGAGGUGAGUGGAAUUCUGAGUGCAGAGGUGAAAUUCGUAGAUAUUCGGAGGAACACCAGUGGCGAAGGCGGCUCACUGGUCCAUUACUGACGCUGAGGUGCGAAAGCGUGGGGAGCAAACAGGAUUAGAUACCCCCGUAGUCCCUGUCUCUUAUAC
RNAcentral lists this ribosomal RNA (303 nucleotides) under uncultured bacterium. RNAcentral's name for it is "partial 16S ribosomal RNA". It matches the Rfam family "Bacterial small subunit ribosomal RNA", at positions 507 to 807 of the family's 1533-position model. The record is from RNAcentral.